This 232-nucleotide non-coding RNA is filed under the name Bacillus pumilus. Its description in RNAcentral is "T-box sequence". It matches the Rfam family "T-box leader". From Rfam's summary of the family: Uncharged tRNA acts as the effector for transcription antitermination of genes in the T-box leader family. Lineage: Bacteria; Bacillati; Bacillota; Bacilli; Caryophanales; Bacillaceae. The record is from RNAcentral.
AGGAAAUCGUUGCGAGGGAGAAGUACAAUGUUUUCGUCCAUCACAGAAAGAGUCUUCACCGGCUGAAAGAGACUUAUGGGCAGACGUUGGAAAUGCACCCUCAAGACCCUUGAGGAACACGAGUACGUAAGUAUGCAAGGGCGGUACCCUCCGUUAUGGGAUGAAGUUGAGAAGGCUGCGAAAUGAGGGCUUUCUAAACAGAGUGGAACCGCGUUUUCAAAACGUCUCUGUC